GGAUUGGCGUGUCGGUCGUGCCUUAAGGGGUAUGAACUGGCGUCGUCGAUUUCUCACCUUCUGGAGAAACGCGAUGCCCUUAAUUGGGUGUCGUGCGGAACCAGGACCUUUACCUUGAAAAAAUUAGAGUGUUUAAAGCAGGCAUUUUUGCUCGAAUACAUUAGCAUGGAAUAAUAAAAUAGGACCUAGGUCUAUUUUGUUGGUUAUUGACAUAGGUA
This 218-nucleotide ribosomal RNA is filed under the name uncultured fungus. RNAcentral describes it as "partial small subunit ribosomal RNA". The stretch from base 97 to 218 matches the Rfam family "Eukaryotic small subunit ribosomal RNA", at positions 739 to 862 of the family's 1831-position model. Lineage: Eukaryota; Fungi. The record is from RNAcentral.